This 468-nucleotide ribosomal RNA is filed under the name uncultured bacterium. RNAcentral's name for it is "partial 16S ribosomal RNA". It matches the Rfam family "Bacterial small subunit ribosomal RNA", at positions 28 to 507 of the family's 1533-position model. The record is from RNAcentral.
GACGAACGCUGGCGGCGUGCUUAAUACAUGCAAGUCGAACGGAAAGGCCCUGCUUUUGUGGGUUGCUCGAUUGGCGAACGGGUGAGUAACACGUGAGUAACCUGCCCUUGACUUUGUGAUAACUUCUGGAAACUGGGGCUCAUACCGGAUAGGAGCUCCUGCUGCAUGGUGGGGGUUGGAAAGAUUCGGCGGUAGUGGAUGGACUCGAGGCUUAUCAGCUUGUUGGUGGGGUAGUGGCUUACCAAGGCUUUGACGGGUAGCCGGCCUGAGAGGGUGACCGGCCACAUUGGGACUGAGAUACGGCCCAGAAUCCUACGGGAGGCAGCAGUGGGGAAUAUUGCAGAAUGGGCGGAAGCCUGAUGCAGCAACUCCGGGUGCGGGAUGACGGCCUUCGGGUUGUAAACAGCUUUCGCCUGUGACGAAGCGUGAGUGACGGUAAUGGGUAAAGAAGCACCGGCUAACUACGUG